This 71-nucleotide transfer RNA is filed under the name Hemidactylus almakhwah (Al Makhwah gecko). RNAcentral describes it as "tRNA-Trp". The record is from RNAcentral. Lineage: Eukaryota; Metazoa; Chordata; Lepidosauria; Squamata; Gekkonidae.
AGAAAUUUAGGUUCACACAAACCAAGAACCUUCAAAGUUCUAAACAGGAGCAAUCGCCCUCCUAAUUUCUG